This 66-nucleotide transfer RNA is filed under the name Holostephanus sp. FJ-2023. RNAcentral's name for it is "tRNA-Cys". Lineage: Eukaryota; Metazoa; Platyhelminthes; Trematoda; Diplostomida; Cyathocotylidae. The record is from RNAcentral.
GGGCGGGUCUAAUAAAAUUGGGAGUACUCUGCAAAGGUACUGGUGAGAUGUGAUUCUCCCCGCCUU